This 396-nucleotide transfer-messenger RNA is filed under the name Pseudonocardia oroxyli. Its description in RNAcentral is "Standard tmRNA". It matches the Rfam family "transfer-messenger RNA". Rfam says of the family: Bacterial tmRNA, also known as 10Sa RNA or SsrA, is named for its dual tRNA and mRNA-like properties. Its role is to liberate the mRNA from a stalled ribosome. Lineage: Bacteria; Bacillati; Actinomycetota; Actinomycetes; Pseudonocardiales; Pseudonocardiaceae. The record is from Rfam by way of RNAcentral.
GGGGGUGAACGGUUUCGACUCCUGAAGCCGACCGAGGAGAAGCGUGCCGAGGAAGGCGACGAUGAUCUCGUUAACCACACGUCGCAAAAAAAUAAGUGCCGACGAGAGUCAGCACGCCCCGGUUCAGGGCGCCCGCGCGGACUUCGCGCUCGCGGCCUGAUCCACUAGUGGGCUGUCGGCCCGCGGGCGUUCCCGCCGCGGUGUCCGGCAUCAGCUAGGGAACUCACCGUCCAGCCCGGCCGUCGGGGGUGGACGGGACAUCUCACAGCGGCUGGGAUCGUCACACCGGCUUGUUCGCGAGACCGGUGGAUCCGAGUAGAGACACAGCGGACUGCGCACGGAGAAUGCCUCGCAACGCAAGGGAGGACCCGGGUUCGAUUCCCGGCACCUCCACCC